AGUGGGGAAUAUUGGACAAUGGGCGCAAGCCUGAUCCAGCCAUGCCGCGUGGGUGAAGAAGGCCUUCGGGUUGUAAAGCCCUUUUGUUGGGAAAGAAAACUUUCCGGCUAAUACCCGGAGAGAAUGACGGUACCCAAAGAAUAAGCACCGGCUAACUUCGUGCCAGCAGCCGCGGUAAUACGAAGGGUGCAAGCGUUACUCGGAAUUACUGGGCGUAAAGCGUGCGUAGGUGGUUCGUUAAGUCUGAUGUGAAAGCCCUGGGCUCAACCUGGGAAUUGCAUUGGAUACUGGCGGGCUAGAGUGCGGUAGAGGGUAGUGGAAUUCCUGGUGUAGCAGUGAAAUGCAUAGAGAUCAGGAGGAACAUCCGUGGCGAAGGCGACUGCCUGGACCAGCACUGACACUGAGGCACGAAAGCGUGGGGAGCAAA
Molecule: ribosomal RNA, 427 nt
Filed under: Luteimonas composti
Lineage: Bacteria; Pseudomonadati; Pseudomonadota; Gammaproteobacteria; Lysobacterales; Lysobacteraceae
Description: bacterial SSU rRNA
Rfam family: Bacterial small subunit ribosomal RNA
Source: RNAcentral